CAUCUUUUCCAAUCCAUUGUUCUGAAGAAGAAAAACCUGCUUCUGUCCCAGGUGGAAUGCCAGUAGUUCGGGCAUUUAUUCGAGAUACGACAAAACAGCUGUCAGACCUUGCUCUGCCUUUUUCAGAGCAAAGACCAGAGCACGAGACUGUGAGCCGUAAGAGGGGAAGCCCUAAUUCCUGAGCCACCUGCUAUUUUGAGCUGAAACAUUGUUCCAAUAUCAUGAUUCUAUUAGAGACCAAGUCAGAUUUGAAUUCAAAGGACCGUCACUGGGAGCCUGUGAUGGAGAAGAAUUAUCUCCAACAACACAUUGGGAGCGAAAGAGUCCUGCAUGGCCUGUAGCUUCAGGGGCUGAUGGAGGAAGCUGCACUUCUGAGCUGAAGACCUGCAUAAUUGCAUAAAUCUCACAAAAAUCUUAAAGAAGGGCUUAUAAGGGACACCAUGAACUUUGCCUGGCAAUCAGCAAUUCUUUGCCUCUAGAGCAGAUGUUACUGAGGAGGCCACAGAGAGGAAUGUCAGCAGUGUCACCGUGAGUCACAGCCAAACAACAGAGCCAUCAUUUCUCAUGUUUCUCCUUCUCAUCACCUUUUGAGGAGCAGAGGAGGAGGAGGCCCAGAUCAGCAGACCCUCUGAAGCCAGCAUCCUCUCCCCAGAUACUUCCAACUACAGUUGCCCUCUCAGGAAAUAAACAAGAAAAUCAGGAAUAUCUACACUGUUCUGGUGUAGCUAGUUCCCACAAUGGUGAUCAGUUAGUGUCCUGAGCAGAACAUCUGCAACCCGUAAACAGUGGCUGUGACAAGAAUGAGAGGUGCAAAUUUCUCAUUUGCAUCCUCUGUCUGACUGUGAUGUGCCAUGGGAACCUGCAGGGCAAGAAGACAAUGUGCCAUGGGAUCCCACAGGAAAGACCAGGGUCUCAGUGAGACCCUCUGCUUGUCUACACCCACCCAUAAGCAGACAAAUGGCCUUGUAACAUAUCCACUGAUGUUCUGAUUCAUUCAGCUCUGGGGAGGCUUUGGAUGAGUCUUCUGCAGGUAUGGAUCUCCUUCCAUAGACUCCAGGCCUGCAUGGCUAUUCUGGAUCUAACCGAACAGGACACAGCACAGCACAGCAUUGCUGACCACCGUUUCGCCUCAUGCCCACUGCUCAGCAGCUCAGGAAGCAUCCUCUGAAUUCAGUCCCUGCAUCCUCAGCUGGUCUUCACUGGGCUGGCUUUCCCUGUGACUCCCUGGAGGAGUGCCCCAGAUUUUUGCACCAUGCUGCACAUCCUACUGCCUUCCUUCAACAGGAAU
This is a long non-coding RNA of Dromaius novaehollandiae (emu), 1288 nucleotides long. RefSeq lists it as uncharacterized. The transcript is spliced from 3 exons. The record is from RefSeq and is a predicted model, not a curated record. Lineage: Eukaryota; Metazoa; Chordata; Aves; Casuariiformes; Dromaiidae.